Molecule: long non-coding RNA, 253 nt
Organism: Scleropages formosus (Asian bonytongue)
Lineage: Eukaryota; Metazoa; Chordata; Actinopteri; Osteoglossiformes; Osteoglossidae
Exons: 3
Source: RefSeq, a predicted model, not a curated record
UGCGAAAGCAGCGCGCUCCCCGGUGCAGUAUGUCCUCUGGAAUGUGGCGGAGUGUGUGCGUUUGUCCGUGCAGAUCCAGAGCCUGACAUAAUGCAGCUGCCAGGGGAGCAGAGCCUGCAGUGGCCAAAGCCUGCCAGUGCCCUUUUUUUGCUUCUCCUAUGAGGUCUCUUUGUAUAGCUGACACCCACCCACCAUCAUUCUCUGCUGAGACUCACAGCUGCACCUAGCAUGGGCUUGAGAGGAGGAAAGUACC